This 3113-nucleotide long non-coding RNA is filed under the name Triticum aestivum (bread wheat). Its description in RNAcentral is "long non-coding RNA (TAES_LNC008058)". The record is from RNAcentral. Lineage: Eukaryota; Viridiplantae; Streptophyta; Magnoliopsida; Poales; Poaceae.
CCCGUCGCCCCAUUCCCCCACUUCUCCCCCCCCACGCCGCUCCUCCCUCUGCCCCGAUCUGGAUCGGGGGGACAACGACGCCCUCCCUGCAAGCCCGACGCCGCGCCCCCCAGAUCCCGUCGUCGUUGGACCACGUCGCCCCGCCUGGUCCUCGUCGGAUCGACCCACCCCGCCUCCCUGACGACGCCGCCUCGCCGGACUCCACCCCAUCGAGAAGGAGGUCGCCUCGCCCUCGCCGCGACGACCGCGCCGCCCCUCGCCGUUGAACGUCGCCACGCCGGAGCUCCCCCGCCGGCCUGCUUCCACCUCUCCGCCGGACCUCCUCGUCCUCCUCCGCGAGUCGCUCCCCGCGCACCGAUGCCCAGUCCCUACGAACCCGAUGUGAGCGCGCGCCCUUCCCCCCCUCUCUCGCGUGACCUCGCCUCACGCGCCCCCGCGCCCCUCCGCUGUCCCGCUCACCAUGGCCGGGUCGCGCCCUGGCCGCGCGCGGCACUUCGUCCGGCCGGCGCCACUUCACGUGCACCCCCCGCUCCGCCUAUGCCCGGGGCCGCGCCUCCCACCGCCAUGAGCUCGCUCCGACCGCGCGUCCCACUGACGCUGCUCCUCGGCCGCCCCCUCGCGCGACCCUCCCUGUCCUCCGCUGCUGUCCGCCACUCGGCCGUCUCGCCGGUGCAGAUCCCGGCCGGCCUCGCCAUGGCCAACGCCCCCGGCUCCGGCCCCUGUUGGCUCUGCCGGCACCUGGGCAGGCGCUAGUUCGAGUCGCGCCCGCUAACGCCCGAAGCCCGCGUUGGCCCUCUAGGCCACUGACUAGGGGGCCCCACCCCUCAGAACAAAGAUUAUAAAAACAAGAAUUAAAAAUAAUAAUAAUAAUAAUAAUAAUUAAUUAACUUAAUUAAUUUUGAUUAAUUAAACUAAUCAAUUAACUAAACUAAUUAAUCAGUUAAUUAGUUAAUUAAGUAGUCAAUGACAGUGAGGCCCACCCCCUAAUUAAUCUUGAUUAGGUUAAAAAUGCUUAAUUAAAAUGUUUCACUGACCAGUGGGACCCACUGGUCAGGUUGACUAGUCAACCCUGUUGACUGCUGACGUUAGCAUGACAUCAUGCUGAUGUCAUAAAUCCUUUUUCGAAUUAAAUUAAAUAAUUAAUGAAAUUCCAGAAAUUAAUAAAAUCUUUAGAAAAUCAUAUCUUUUAAGCUGUAACUCGGAUUAAAAUAUUUUCAACAUGAAAGUUGCUCAGAACGACGAGACGAUUCCGGAUAUGCAACCCGUUCGUCCGCCACACCCCCUAACCUAUCGAACUCGCAACUUUCCCCCUCCGGCUCCUCUGCCCGAAAACGCGAAACGCCGGGGAUACUUUCCCGGAUGUUUCUCCCCUCCACUGGUAUCACCCCAUACCGCGUUAGGGCACCUCUAGCACCGAUACUUGUCAUGUCAUGCAUCACUAUGCAUCUGCUUGUCCCCCUCUUCUCUCGCUAGACACCGAGACCGACGCUGCUGCUGCCCAGUUCGACUACGGAGUUGACGACCCCUCUCUCUUGCCAGAGCAACCAGGCAAGCCCCCCCCCCCCUUGAUCACCAGAUAUCGCCUAUUCUACUCUAUACUGCUUGCAUUAGAGUAGUGUAGCAUGUUACUGCUUUCCGUUAUUCCUAUCCUGAUGCAUAGCCUGUCCGUGCUACUACUGUUGGUACCUUACCUGCAAUCCUACUUGCUUAGUAUAGGAUGCUAGUAUUUCCAUCUGUGGCCCUACAUUCUUGUCCAUAUGCUGUGCUAUACUAUCGGGCCGUGAUCACUCGGGAGGUGAUCACGUGUAUAUAUACUAUACUUAUACAUGAUACAUGUGGUGACUAAAGUCGGGUCGACUUGUGGAGCACCCGCGAGUGGAUCUUCGUGGCGGAGCGACAGGGCAGGUUGAGACCGCCUAGGAGAGAGGUGGGCCUGGCCCUGUUCGGCGUUCGCGGAUACUUAACACGCUUAACAAGAUCUGGGUAUUUGAUCUGAGUCUGGCCAUUUGGUCUAUACGCACUAACCAACUACGUGGGAAAGAUAUGGUCACUCGGCGUCGUGGUAUCAGCCGAAGCACUUCGUGACGCCAGCGACUGAGUGGCGCGCGCCGGAUUGGAACGUAAGCCUGCUCUUGUAUUAAGGGGGCUAGUUCUGUUUUCGGCCGCGUACGCAACGUGCAGGUGUGCUAUGGGCGAUGGGCCCAGACCCCUGUGCGCUUAGGUUUAGACCGGCGUGCUGGCCUCUCUGUUGUGCCUAGGUGGGGCUGCGACGUGUUGAUCUCCCGCGGCCGGGCAUGACCCAGGAAAGUGUGUCCGGCCAAAGGGGAUCAAGCGUGUUGGGUUAUGUGGUGCACCCCUGCAGGGAAGUUAAUCUAUUCGUGUCCCUCGGUAAAAGGACGACCCGGAGUUGUACCUUGACCUUAUGAUAACUAGAACCGGAUACUUAAUAAAACACACCCUUUCAAGUGCCAGAUAUAACCCGGUGGUCGCUCUCCAUCAGGGUUACGAUGAGGGGAUCGCCGGGUAGGAUUAUGCUAUACGAUGUUACUUGGAGGAUUUCAGUCUACCCUCUUCUACCUGUUGCAAGAUGGAGGUGACCAAAAGCGUAGUCUUCGAUAAGACUAGCUAUCCCCCUCUUAUUCUGGCUUUCUGCAGUUCAGUCCACUGAUAUGCCCCUUUACGCAUAUAUCCAUGCAUAUGUAGUGUAGCUCCUUGCUUGCGAGUACUUUGGAUGAGUACUCACGGUUGCCUUGUUCCCCCUUUUCCCCCUUUCUUUACCCGGUUGCUGCGACCAGACGAUGGAGCCCAGGAGCCAGACGCCACCGUCGAUGAUGACUACUACACUGGAGGCGCCUGCUACUACGUGCAGACUGCGGACGACGACCUGGAGUAGCCUAGGAGGAUCCCAGGCAGGAGGCCUCUGCCUCUUUCGAUUGUAUCCCUGUUUGUGCUAGCCUUCUUAAGGCAAACUUGUUUAACUUAUGUCUGUACUCAGAUAUUGUUGCUUCCGCUGACUCGUCUAUGAUCGAGCACUUGUAUUCGAGCCCUCGAGGCCCCUGGCUUGUAUUAUGAUGCUUGUAUGACUUAUUUAUGUUUUAGAUUUGUGUUGUGAU